AUGUAAAAUGACUCUCGGCAACGGAUAUCUCGGCUCUUGCAUCUAUGAAGAACGUAGCGAAAUGCGAUACUUGGUGUGAAUUGCAGAAUCCCGUGAACCAUCGAGUCUUUGAACGCAAGUUGCGCCCAAAGCCAUUAAGCUGAGGGCACGCCUGCCUGGGUGUCACAC
RNAcentral lists this ribosomal RNA (168 nucleotides) under Phaseolus lunatus (lima bean). RNAcentral describes it as "5.8S ribosomal RNA". It matches the Rfam family "5.8S ribosomal RNA". Rfam says of the family: 5.8S ribosomal RNA (5.8S rRNA) is a component of the large subunit of the eukaryotic ribosome. Lineage: Eukaryota; Viridiplantae; Streptophyta; Magnoliopsida; Fabales; Fabaceae. The record is from RNAcentral.